Molecule: ribosomal RNA, 883 nt
Filed under: Alteromonas macleodii
Lineage: Bacteria; Pseudomonadati; Pseudomonadota; Gammaproteobacteria; Alteromonadales; Alteromonadaceae
Description: bacterial SSU rRNA
Rfam family: Bacterial small subunit ribosomal RNA
Source: RNAcentral
GUCGACGGUAACAUAUAUACUAGCUAUGCUAGAAGAUAGACGAGUGGCGGACGGGUGAGUAAUGCUUGGGAACUAUGCCUUAUGCGAGGGGGAUAACAGUUGGAAACGACUGCUAAUACCGCAUAAUGUCUUCGGACCAAACGGGGCUUCGGCUCCGGCGCAAAGAGAGGCCCAAGUGAGAUUAGCUAGUUGGUAAGGUAACGGCUUACCAAGGCGACGAUCUCUAGCUGUUCUGAGAGGAAGAUCAGCCACACUGGGACUGAGACCGGCCCAGACUCCUACGGGAGGCAGCAGUGGGGAAUAUUGCACAAUGGGGGAAACCCUGAUGCAGCCAUGCCGCGUGUGUGAAGAAGGCCUUCGGGUUGUAAAGCACUUUCAGUUGUGAGGAAAAGUUAGUAGUUAAUACCUGCUAGCCGUGACGUUAACAACAGAAGAAGCACCGGCUAACUCCGUGCCAGCAGCCGCGGUAAUACGGAGGGUGCGAGCGUUAAUCGGAAUUACUGGGCGUAAAGCGCACGCAGGCGGUUUGUUAAGCUAGAUGUGAAAGCCCCGGGCUCAACCUGGGAUGGUCAUUUAGAACUGGCAGACUAGAGUCUUGGAGAGGGGAGUGGAAUUCCAGGUGUAGCGGUGAAUGCGUAGAUAUCUGGAGGAACAUCAGUGGCGAAGGCGACUCCCUGGCCAAAGACUGACGCUCAUGUGCGAAAGUGUGGGUAGCGAACAGGAUUAGAUACCCUGGUAGUCCACACCGUAAACGCUGUCUACUAGCUGUGUGUGCCUAUAAGGCGUGCGUAGCGAAGCUAACGCGCUAAGUAGACCGCCUGGGGGAGUACGGCCGCAAGGUUAAAAACUCAAAAUGAAUUGACGGGGGCCCGCACAAGCGGUG